Molecule: small nuclear RNA, 105 nt
Filed under: Sus scrofa (pig)
Lineage: Eukaryota; Metazoa; Chordata; Mammalia; Artiodactyla; Suidae
Source: RNAcentral
GUGCUCGCUUUGGCAGCACAUAUACUAAAAACUGGAACGAUACAGAGAUUAGCAUGGCCCCUGAACAAGGAUGACACGCAAAUUUGUGAAGCGUUCCAUAUUUAA